UCAUGGCUCAGGACGAACGCUGGCGGCGUGCUUAACACAUGCAAGUCGAACGAUGAACCGCUUUCGGGCGGGGAUUAGUGGCGAACGGGUGAGUAACACGUGGGCAAUCUGCCCUGCACUCUGGGACAAGCCCUGGAAACGGGGUCUAAUACCGGAUAUGACUGUCCAUCGCAUGGUGGAUGGUGUAAAGCUCCGGCGGUGCAGGAUGAGCCCGCGGCCUAUCAGCUUGUUGGUGAGGUAGUGGCUCACCAAGGCGACGACGGGUAGCCGGCCUGAGAGGGCGACCGGCCACACUGGGACUGAGACACGGCCCAGACUCCUACGGGAGGCAGCAGUGGGGAAUAUUGCACAAUGGGCGAAAGCCUGAUGCAGCGACGCCGCGUGAGGGAUGACGGCCUUCGGGUUGUAAACCUCUUUCAGCAGGGAAGAAGCGAAAG
This 437-nucleotide ribosomal RNA is filed under the name Streptomyces sp. MF6. RNAcentral describes it as "bacterial SSU rRNA". It matches the Rfam family "Bacterial small subunit ribosomal RNA", at positions 17 to 456 of the family's 1533-position model. The record is from RNAcentral. Lineage: Bacteria; Bacillati; Actinomycetota; Actinomycetes; Kitasatosporales; Streptomycetaceae.